Molecule: ribosomal RNA, 402 nt
Filed under: uncultured bacterium
Lineage: Bacteria
Description: bacterial SSU rRNA
Rfam family: Bacterial small subunit ribosomal RNA
Source: RNAcentral
UGGGGAAUAUUGCACAAUGGGGGGAACCCUGAUGCAGCAACGCCGCGUGAGUGAAGAAGUAUUUCGGUAUGUAAAGCUCUAUCAGCAGGGAAGAUAAUGACGGUACCUGACUAAGAAGCUCCGGCUAAAUACGUGCCAGCAGCCGCGGUAAUACGUAUGGAGCAAGCGUUAUCCGGAUUUACUGGGUGUAAAGGGUGCGUAGGCGGCGCGGCAAGUCAGAUGUGAAAGACCGGGGCUCAACCCCGGGGCUGCAUUUGAAACUGCGGUGCUCGAGUCCAGGAGAGGCAGGCGGAAUUCCUAGUGUAGCGGUGAAAUGCGUAGAUAUUAGGAGGAACACCAGUGGCGAAGGCGGCCUGCUGGACUGGUACUGACGCUGAGGCACGAAAGCGUGGGGAGCAAACA